Molecule: ribosomal RNA, 253 nt
Filed under: uncultured bacterium
Lineage: Bacteria
Description: partial 16S ribosomal RNA
Rfam family: Bacterial small subunit ribosomal RNA
Source: RNAcentral
UACGUAGGGUGCGAGCGUUGUCCGGAAUUAUUGGGCGUAAAGAGCUCGUAGGCGGUGUGUCACGUCGGCCGUGAAAACCUGCAGCUUAACUCUGAGCUUGCAGUGGGUACGGGCAGACUAGAGUGCGGUAGGGGAGACUGGAAUUCCUGGUGUAGCGGUGAAAUGCGCAGAUAUCAGGAGGAACACCGGUGGCGAAGGCGGGUCUCUGGGCCGUAACUGACGCUGAGGAGCGAAAGCAUGGGGAGCGAACAGG